This 1864-nucleotide long non-coding RNA is filed under the name Lathyrus oleraceus (garden pea). RNAcentral's name for it is "Pisum sativum (pea) long non-coding RNA (PSAT_LNC030079)". Lineage: Eukaryota; Viridiplantae; Streptophyta; Magnoliopsida; Fabales; Fabaceae. The record is from RNAcentral.
CACUUCAUCAACGUAUUCACACACAUGGCCGAAAUUGUUCUCCUCUGUCGCGCCGAAAUUCGUCAUCGGUGGCGGCGGAGCCUUAAAAUAGUCAAACUAUACCCCAUUCUCUUUGCGCCACAACCCUUUAUCUGAAACCUUACUCUAUUUCGUCCAAUUUCAACCCAAUCAAACCAAAUUAUCCACCACAGUCAAGAACCUUAAUCCAUAAUUACGUAAAUUAAAUGUAAGGGAGAUGAAAUUGAAGCCGACACCCUUAGCGCUUCAAUUCCCUAAGCUAAGGGUUACAUCUCGGUAACAAGUUGAAGACGAAAUGAAGGAGAAGUGCAAAGGAGCUUACCGGUCGGAGCAGUUUCGGCGACUCUUCAAGGUAAGUUCUUCAAGCUUUAUUCACUCAUUCUUCUUCGUCUUCCUCGCUUCUGUCUUCUUCUUUUUCUUCUUGCUUUUCUGGUUCCUCCUCCUCUUCUCUUCUUCUAUGCUUGAUGUGUGAGAGAUGAGAGAAUGAGAUUUUGAUAGGCGAAGGAGAAUCAAAGUGAGUGAAAAUGCAUAAUGAGGACGAAUCUACAAAAUUCUGAGAAAAAUGAGUGAAGAAUCGUCCUCUCUAAACGUGAAUGGAAACCAGAUUAUAUAGAGUUUCAACUUUAACAGAGAUUAACUCUGUUAAAGCUCUCUCAGUUCAAGUUAGUUAGAGGUUGGAUCUCUGUUAAAAAUCUAUCAAGGUUAGUUAGAAAUGUUAGUUAUGAUAUCAAUUUAUUAAUUGUUGAUUUGAAGUUAGUUAGUAGUUAGUGAUCCAAGGUGUGACUGGUUGAUGCAGGUUACAGGUUAACAUGAAUUAUGUGAAGUGGCUAUGGAUUAUACAUGGUGAUGACAUGCUAAACAGGUAUGAUUUCGAGUUGCAAGUUUUGAGUUAUUUUAGCAAACUGCAUGAUGACUUAUUGAUGCGGGUUGCAGGGUAAUGGUCUACUGAUGGGUGAGCAAGGUGGUUGCAUUCCUACUGCAGGUGUGAGUGAUGUUACGUGUGAAUCUGAUUUUUUAGUUCUGUUAUAGUUAAUUGGUUUUGUUAAAUGAUGUUAGUGAUAGUUGGUUGAAAUCUGUUAGGAGAAAAUCGUUAGCUUGAGUUUGAGUUAGCUGGUUUUUAAUUAGUUAAUUUCUUUGUAGCUUCAGUUGAGUUCGGUUGUUAGCUUGAAACUAAGUUUUGAAUUUAGGUAUGUUAGAUUUCAGUUGUUAAUCCUCUGUUAGUUAAUUAGUGUUGAAUCAACUAGAAGCUUAUUAGUUACAUUUAAUUUGUGAAGUCUAAUGGUGAUAUAAUGUGUUAGUUAACAGGCUGUUAUCAGUUAGGAAAACAUACAAGCUGUCAUAUGGUUUACUCAUGCCCUGUAUUGACUGUUAUGCCUUGGUCUAAAUAUUAGGACUAGUUUGCCUAUUUUUAGUGUUUGCUUGUUAUGAUGGUUGCUUAAUGAUGUUAAUGACUUGCUUUGAUAUGCUUGCAGACCCAUAAUGAGCUCAUGGUGGCAUAGCCAAAGGAAGCACAUGGAGGCCUUUGAGGAUGCAAGGAUGGGCUGCCAUAUUAAAAGCUCUUUUUUCCUUUCUUCCUUUUGAUUCAAACCAUGUUAUGAAAUAGAAUUGGGGCUUACUCUUUGUAUGGAUAUGAUCAUGUAAAGAUACACUUUGUAAUCAAACUUCAAUUAUCACUUCAAAUUAUGGAUGCCAUUUACACGGAUGCAAGCUAGUAAAUGAAUGAAAGUUAUGAGGUUUGGUUCUUUCUAGAAAAAGUCAAUUGUCGACCAAAGUCAACUUUGGUCGAAGUUAUAUUUUUUGUAAUUUUAUUUGUGAUGCAAUUAAUGAACAAAAACGGUUCUUUUAU